GGUAAAUUAGGACAAGAGAUGUUUCUAUUUUGCACUGCUCAUACUGUACAUACUGUGAUUCAUCUGAUGGGUUUCUUGCACCUGCAAAUGACAGCGUCAUGAUGUUGUCAACGGUGUGAGGCAGAAGGUGUAACCAAAUAUGAUGCAGGUGAAGCUGCUGCAGAUCAGAAAGAGCAAAAAGGUUCAACAACCAUGAAAUCCUAGCUGAGGACGUGCGAGACUGGGAUAUAGCCAGUGACCGGGGGCAAGGGCAGCGUGCGCAGGGUGAUCGACGAGGACUACUGCGGCCCGAUGGGAGUCGUGCUCUUCAACUACUCGGAGGCAGACUUCACCGUGAAGCCCCGCGACCGCGUCAUACAGAUUAUCGUCCAGGUGAUUGCGACGCAGGAGGUCCCCGGGUUGGAGGACCUCGACGCCACCGUCCGGACGUCACCGAGGUGGAGGACGACGCCACCGUCCGGAGUUCCUCAAGGUGGAGGACCUCGACGCUUUGUACAUACAUCUAGAGAAGUGGUCUGGUUAGGUUGGUGGUGAAACGCUAGGGAAGGUACCAACCUUUUGAUGAUGGUUGUGUGUGUCCUCGUGAUCUCUUCGAGUUGAGAUGUUGAAUGAUGCAUCCAUGAACACUACAAGUGUUAAG
Molecule: long non-coding RNA, 640 nt
Organism: Triticum urartu
Lineage: Eukaryota; Viridiplantae; Streptophyta; Magnoliopsida; Poales; Poaceae
Source: RefSeq, a predicted model, not a curated record